AAUCCAUAGGUUAAUGAGGCGAACCGGGGGAACUGAAACAUCUAAGUACCCCGAGGAAAAGAAAUCAACCGAGAUUCCCCCAGUAGCGGCGAGCGAACGGGGAGGAGCCCAGAGCCUGAAUCAGCAUGUGUGUUAGUGGAAGCGUCUGGAAAGGCGCGCGAUACAGGGUGACAGCCCCGUACACAAAAGCGCAUGUGCUGUGAGCUCGAUGAGUAGGGCGGGACACGUGGUAUCCUGUCUGAAUAUGGGGGGACCAUCCUCCAAGGCUAAAUACUCCUGACUGACCGAUAGUGAACCAGUACCGUGAGGGAAAGGCGAAAAGAACCCCGGCGAGGGGAGUGAAAAAGAACCUGAAACCGUGUACGUACA
Molecule: ribosomal RNA, 369 nt
Filed under: Salmonella enterica
Lineage: Bacteria; Pseudomonadati; Pseudomonadota; Gammaproteobacteria; Enterobacterales; Enterobacteriaceae
Also listed under: 2 other names
Description: partial 23S ribosomal RNA
Rfam family: Bacterial large subunit ribosomal RNA
Source: RNAcentral